GGCGGUACUGACGUGUGCCUC
RNAcentral lists this non-coding RNA (21 nucleotides) under Arabidopsis thaliana (thale cress). The record is from RNAcentral. Lineage: Eukaryota; Viridiplantae; Streptophyta; Magnoliopsida; Brassicales; Brassicaceae.